CUAUGGUGAGGCACUAGCCGUGGAUGUGGACUUGCAGGCGCUCCUUCUAGCCGACGACAACGAAUUAUUAAGUGUCCAGCACACCGUGCUAUCCAUCAUCAGCAUCCGACCGUGAGGCGGAGUAUGAGACCCCGUUUGCAAGAAAAUAGCCAUGGUGCGUGUUCUUAUUUCCUCUCCUUGCUUCCUCCUACUCGGGAUUGUUCAGUAUGCAAUUAGCUCCUUGACUGUAGGGCUAGGCUAGGUUAUCGUCUGUAUUAACCCUGUUCUAUUUUGCAGUUGAGAAUCAGAUGGUGAUGCUUUGGAACAUUUAGACCACGGCAGGAGCCUUUAUACACUUAUAAGGCUGAAGAAUAUACCAAUCCAAGUGUUAGCUUUGCAAGGGGUUCCUGUUCUGCGAAAUAAAGGAUAAGAAUGCCAUCUGCCAUACAUUAAAAAGUUUCUACAAGGAGAUAGUGUGCAGUUAUUUUGUUCCAGUGAAUCUUUCUUAUGCUAGAGUAUGUAUGUGAAUUUUGUUUACAGUUUAUGGAUGAGAAUGGGAAAGUAAACGGUUACUGCUUUGAAAUUAGGAGGGACCGAGGAGGAGUAGCCUAAUUAACAAGUGCCAGUACAAUUUUAGGUUCUGUAGUGUGCGAAUGUUGAUAGCUUCUAGGUACGGCUAGCUGGCUGUAAGGACGGUCCUGGUAUGCAAUGAUCUGGUGAUUUGUUAAUCCUAUUUACCCGGACUAUCUGAUUUUGUAUCUUCCUUAUCAGUUAUCUGAAUUUGUAGUGAGCAAGUCGCCGUCUGUACACAAGAUUCAGCCAUCGUCUGCGUCGUAGGGUUGUCACACACUAAUAUUUUGGCUGGCUGGAUAUGGAGAUUUAUUUGGAUAAUUUGUAUUAUUGUUGUUGCUUAUUUAAAAUUUGAUUGUUCUUUGACUUUUUUUGAGCAGUUAUACCAACACCUUGAGGCAGCAUUAGUCUGCUAUUAACUCUCCCACUCUCAUUUUGUUUGUGCAGACCUUUGUUUAGUCAUGUCGACAAGAUAGUUGAUGAAAAUUCAAACAAGCUGCAAGUGAGGUGGACCGGUGUAAUCUUUAUAAUGUAGUCAAAGAAUAAGCCCAUCUCCCUCAUGUUGUUUCUAAUUCUACAUAUGUUAUUUUGGAGUUAUUAAUUUGUUUUUUACGCUCUGAUUUAAGGACUUCUCUUUACCAUGUAUGAAAGCUAAAAAUAUUUUGGUAGUGUAAUUUCUUUAAUCAUACAUUUAUUGUACAUAAAAUGUUAGAGAUGUCCUCCUAGCAUGAUUUAUUUUUGAAGUUGUCUUAUACACAGGAAGGUAGUACA
This 1320-nucleotide long non-coding RNA is filed under the name Triticum aestivum (bread wheat). RNAcentral describes it as "long non-coding RNA (TAES_LNC015649)". The record is from RNAcentral. Lineage: Eukaryota; Viridiplantae; Streptophyta; Magnoliopsida; Poales; Poaceae.